Molecule: non-coding RNA, 797 nt
Organism: Cinara cedri
Lineage: Eukaryota; Metazoa; Arthropoda; Insecta; Hemiptera; Aphididae
Source: the annotation of a GenBank genome assembly
UGGAGAAAAAGCAUUCCGGCCGGUGCGCGCGUUAUUUUUCCCUCUGUAUUUGCGUGAUCGCCCUCUGCGGUAGCAUUUCCGUAUCUUCCGACGCGUUUACGUCGCCCGACGUUUUGCCGGUGCGACACUUGCGCGCGUAAUCGUCCGCGGCCCGUCAACGAACGCUGGCCCGGCCCCUCCCCCGGUCGGGUAAGCCCAAAGCGGUCCCGCGAAACCGGCGUGAGGUUGCUGCUGCUGCCCGUGAUGUACCUGUGCGGUACAUGAUGUUCGUUUUCGAAGACACCGGCCAAUAUUGAUUAACAGUUUUUCCUCAGAUAUUUCAUUAUCAGCCACUCUAGAGCAGUGUCUCUAACCUUUUUGAUAUCACGGAACACCAAACAAUAAUAAUUUUUUUCAUGCGGAACCCCCUUUGAUAAUAAUUAUCUUUAAAAAAUAACGGUACACAACACAUGGCGCUAAAACACUAAAUACAGCAAAAUGUAAUUAAAUUAUUUAUUCAGAAUUUAGAUUAUAUUUAGGUUAGAUUAGAUUUACAUUAGAUUGUAAUAACAGGAAAAAAUAAUAAAAUAAGUGCAUGAAUCUUAAUGGGAUGGUUGAGCUUGAAUGUUGACUGCAUAUAUUAUCAAUAUCUAGAGUAAGGUUUGUUAAUGAAAGUCUUAGUGUCUGCGUCAAAUUCAACAUAUUUCGAUAUUUAGUCUUGGUUGCAGUGACUGCCGAGAAUUCAAUUUCACUUAUAUACAUUGAAGGAAAAGGAAUUAAACUGUCAAUGCCUUUUCACUUAACACCUCAUAUUCGCU